Chrysemys picta bellii (western painted turtle) is the source of this 235-nucleotide long non-coding RNA. The record is from Ensembl. NCBI's taxonomy places the organism in Eukaryota, Metazoa, Chordata, Testudines, Emydidae.
AUUUCUCUUUCUAAAUUUGACACAGUUUAGGUAUGCAGUAUCUUUAAGGACAACCUACUUCUCAUAUCUUCCAUUUCAAAACUAAAACACACAGAAAAGGACUGCAGAGCAAGAUCCACUCCUGCUUAUUUCAAGAUGCAAUGGAAAUCUUUAUGCUCACACUGGGCCAGGCCUGGGGAAAAUUCCACUGGCAGAUGUGAGGAAUCCCAAGACAGGUUGGUGCAUUUCCCGGGUU